UGAGUACGAGACGCUAAGGCGUCGAAGUAGUGGAUGUCAUACUUCCAAGAAAAGCUUGCACUGUCAUAAAUAAAAACGCCUGUACCAUAACCGACACAGGUGGGUAGGUAGAGUAUACUAAGGGGCGCGAGAUAACUCUCUCUAAGGAAUUCGGCAAAAUGACUCCGUAACUUCGGGAGAAGGAGUGCCUUAUUCGUAAGGCUGCAAUAACAAGAUCCAAGCAACUGUUUAUCAAAAACACAGGUCUCCGCUAAGUCGUAAGACGAUGUAUGGGGGCUGACGCCUGCCCAGUGCCAGAAGGUUAAAGAAGUCGGUUAGCAUUAGCGAAGCUGGUAACUGAAGCCCUGGUGAACGGCGGCCGUAACAAUAACGGUCCUAAGGUAGCGAAAUUCCUUGUCGGGUAAGUUCCGACCCGCACGAAAGGCGUAAUGAUUUGGAUACUGUCUCGGAGAGGGGCUCGGUGAAAUAGACUUGUCUGUGAAGAUGCGGACUACCUGCACCAGGACAGAAAGACCCUAUGAAGCUUUACUGUAACUUGAAAUUGAAAUUGGACUUUAUUCGCGCAGUAUAGGUGGGAGGUUUGAUUAUAAUCUUGCGGGAUUAUUGGAGCCAUCAGUGAGAUACCACUCUUGUAAUGUUAGAUUUCUAACUUUGAAUCAUUAUCUGGUCAAAGAACAGUUUCAGGCGGGCAGUUUGACUGGGGCGGUCGCCUCCUAAAUGGUAACGGAGGCGUACAAAGGUUUCCUCUGAACGGGUAGAAAUCGUAUCUAGAGUGUAAAGGCAUAAGGAAGCUUGACUGUGAGACCUACAAGUCGAGCAGGGACGAAAGUCGGUCUUAGUGAUCUGACGGUACUGAGUGGAAAGGCCGUCACUCAACGGAUAAAAGUUACUCUAGGAUAACAGGCUGAUCUCCCCCAAGAGUUCACAUCGACGGGGAGGUUUGGCACCUCGAUGUCGGCUCAUCGCAUCCUGGGGCGGUAGUACGUCCCAAGGGUUGGGCUGUUCGCCCAUGAAAGCGGUACGCGAGCUGGGUUCAGAACGUCGUGAGACAGUUCGGUCCAUAUCCGGUGUAGGCGUUAGAAUAUUGAGAGGAGCCUUCUUUAGUACGAGAGGACCGAGAAGGACAUACCUCUGGUGUACCAGUUAUCGUGCCAACGGUAAACGCUGGGUAGCUAUGUAUGGAGUGGAUAACCGCUGAAGGCAUCUAAGUGGGAAGCCCACCUCAAGAUAAG
RNAcentral lists this ribosomal RNA (1232 nucleotides) under metagenome. RNAcentral's name for it is "bacterial LSU rRNA". It matches the Rfam family "Bacterial large subunit ribosomal RNA", at positions 1564 to 2808 of the family's 2925-position model. The record is from RNAcentral.